Molecule: microRNA precursor, 83 nt
Filed under: Loxodonta africana (African savanna elephant)
Lineage: Eukaryota; Metazoa; Chordata; Mammalia; Proboscidea; Elephantidae
Description: miRNA (ENSLAFG00000027201.1)
Source: RNAcentral
UAGCAUGGCCAACUGUCCUUGUUUGCCUGGGACUGAGGGUUUUCCUGGAAUGCACCACUUUCAGCGCUAAAGCUGGGAGAGUC